RNAcentral lists this long non-coding RNA (740 nucleotides) under Manihot esculenta (cassava). Its description in RNAcentral is "long non-coding RNA (MESC_LNC010157)". Lineage: Eukaryota; Viridiplantae; Streptophyta; Magnoliopsida; Malpighiales; Euphorbiaceae. The record is from RNAcentral.
UUCCUUAGUUCUACCCAAAAGCGCCAGCUUGUUUGAAGGCGCCCAAAACCCCCAGACUUCCGAUGACAAAGGAUAAAAUUCUUAUUUUUCCAUUGCUUCAAUGAAAAAGGUAUCCAAUUGAACAUGGUUAAGUGUUUUUGCCCACUAAAGUACCAAAAUUCUUCAUUUUUGUGGGUAUCUAGCUGGUACAGUUGGAAGAAGAGGGUUACGCCCGAUUAAAUGUUGUUAUUAAGGCAAAUGAACCAAAAGGCCAUCAAGAUUCUUUAACUAUUGGGGUGCAACUGGACAAUCGAAAGCUUAUGGACUUAGCCUUCCUUAAUUCCACCCAAAAGCGCUAGCUUGUUUGAAGGCGCCCAAAACCCCCAGAUUUCCGAUGACAAAGGAUAAAAUACUUAUUUUUCCACUGCUUCAAUGAAAAAGGUAUCCAGUCGAACAUGGUUAACAUGAACAUUACACAAUACUUUACAUUACAUUACAUUCCAUUGUCUUUCAUGUCCACAACUAAUCUAUUACAUAUAUAAACUUCUAAUCCUGGUGACUUCCUAGUCUAGCCUGCACCUGCAAACCUGGGGGUUAAGGGAAAAGGGUGAACUACUAGAGUCCAGUGAGCAGAAUAGUAAAACAUUAUAUUAAAAUUCAUGCUUUCAUGAAAUGCAUCACAUCACAAACAAAUCACCUUAAGGAUGAACUUGUCACCAAUAGCCCUCUACAUAUCCAAUAGUGUCAGGACGUAGAAUGGG